Molecule: ribosomal RNA, 413 nt
Filed under: uncultured bacterium
Lineage: Bacteria
Description: bacterial SSU rRNA
Rfam family: Bacterial small subunit ribosomal RNA
Source: RNAcentral
GAUAAACGCUGGCGGCGUGCCUAACACAUGCAAGUCGAACGAUCCCGCAAGGGAGAGUGGCGGAAGGGUGAGUAACACGUGGGAAUCUACCUCCUCGCAGGGAACAACCUCUCGAAAGAGAGGCUAAUACCCAAAAGGGUCAGAAAUGAUCAGAGUCGAAAGGCGUGAGGAGAGGAGCCCGCGGCCCAUCAGCUAGUUGGUGAGGUAAUGGCUUACCAAGGCUACGACGGGUAGGGGAUCUGAGAGGAUGUCCCCCACACUGGAACUGAAACACGGUCCAGACGCCUACGGGUGGCAGCAGUGAGGAAUAUUGGACAAUGGGCGAAAGCCCGAUCCAGCAACGCCCGCGUGGAGGAUGAAGGCCUUCGGGUCGUAAACUUCUUUAGAGGGAGACGAGAAAGGACGGUAUCCCU